AACAAGCGAAUGAGUCAUUCAUCGG
This 25-nucleotide unclassified non-coding RNA is filed under the name Arabidopsis thaliana (thale cress). RNAcentral describes it as "trans-acting siRNA1b primary transcript". Lineage: Eukaryota; Viridiplantae; Streptophyta; Magnoliopsida; Brassicales; Brassicaceae. The record is from RNAcentral.